RNAcentral lists this ribosomal RNA (449 nucleotides) under uncultured bacterium. RNAcentral's name for it is "partial 16S ribosomal RNA". It matches the Rfam family "Bacterial small subunit ribosomal RNA", at positions 29 to 523 of the family's 1533-position model. The record is from RNAcentral.
AACGAACGCUGGCGGCAUGCCUAACACAUGCAAGUCGAACGAGAUCUUCGGGUCUAGUGGCGCACGGGUGCGUAACGCGUGGGAAUCUGCCCUUUGGUUCGGAAUAACAGUUGGAAACGACUGCUAAUACCGGAUGAUGACGAAAGUCCAAAGAUUUAUCGCCAGAGGAUGAGCCCGCAUAGGAUUAGGUAGUUGGUGUGGUAAAGGCGCAACAAGGCGACGAUCCUUAGCUGGUGUGAGAGGAUGAUCAGCCACACUGGGACUGAGACACGGCCCAGACUCCUACGGGAGGCAGCAGUGGGGAAUAUUGGACAAUGGGCGAAAGCCUGAUCCAGCAAUGCCGCGUGAGUGAUGAAGGCCUUAGGGUUGUAAAGCUCUUUUACCCGGGAUGAUAAUGACAGUACCGGGAGAAUAAGCUCCGGCUAACUCCGUGCCAGCCGCCGCCGUAA